AAACCAACAGGGAUUCCCUUAGUAGCGGCGAGUGAAGCGGCAAAAGCUCAAAUUUGAAAUCUGGCGCCUUCGGUGUCCGAGUUGUAAUUUGAAGAUUGUAACCUUGGGGUUGGCUCUUGUCUAUGUUUCUUGGAACAGGACGUCACAGAGGGUGAGAAUCCCGUGCGAUGAGAUGCCCAAUUCUAUGUAAGGUGCUUUCGAAGAGUCGAGUUGUUUGGGAAUGCAGCUCUAAGUGGGUGGUAAAUUCCAUCUAAAGCUAAAUAUUGGCGAGAGACCGAUAGCGAACAAGUACAGUGAUGGAAAGAUGAAAAGAACUUUGAAAAGAGAGUGAAAAAGUACGUGAAAUUGUUGAAAGGGAAGGGUUUGAGAUCAGACUCGAUAUUUUGUGAGCCUUGCCUUCGUGGCGGGGUGACCCGCAGCUUAUCGGGCCAGCAUCGGUUUGGGCGGUAGGAUAAUGGCGUAGGAAUGUGACUUUACUUCGGUGAAGUGUUAUAGCCUGCGUUGAUGCUGCCUGCCUAGACCGAGGACUGCGAUUUUAUCAAGGAUGCUGGCAUAAUGAUCCCAAACCGC
This 570-nucleotide ribosomal RNA is filed under the name Meyerozyma carpophila. Its description in RNAcentral is "eukaryotic LSU rRNA". It matches the Rfam family "Eukaryotic large subunit ribosomal RNA", at positions 62 to 648 of the family's 3401-position model. Lineage: Eukaryota; Fungi; Ascomycota; Pichiomycetes; Serinales; Debaryomycetaceae. The record is from RNAcentral.